GGCAGUGUGGUGUAAGUAAGCAUGUUGGUUUUGUAAUCUAAAGGUGGGUUUUCCCUCUGUCU
This 62-nucleotide transfer RNA is filed under the name Pteria penguin. RNAcentral's name for it is "tRNA-Thr". Lineage: Eukaryota; Metazoa; Mollusca; Bivalvia; Pterioida; Pteriidae. The record is from RNAcentral.